This 611-nucleotide ribosomal RNA is filed under the name uncultured bacterium. RNAcentral describes it as "bacterial SSU rRNA". The stretch from base 1 to 523 matches the Rfam family "Bacterial small subunit ribosomal RNA", at positions 338 to 873 of the family's 1533-position model. The record is from RNAcentral.
CCUACGGGAGGCAGCAGUGGGGAAUAUUGCACAAUGGGCGCAAGCCUGAUGCAGCAACGCCGCGUGAGGGACGACGGCCUUCGGGUUGUAAACCUCUUUUAGUAGGGAAGAAGCGAAAGUGACGGUACCUGCAGAAAAAGCACCGGCUAACUGCGUGCCAGCAGCCGCGGUAAUACGUAGGGUGCAAGCGUUAUCCGGAAUUAUUGGGCGUAAAGAGCUCGUAGGCGGUUUGUCGCGUCUGCUGUGAAAACUGGAGGCUCAACCUCCAGCCUGCAGUGGGUACGGGCAAACUAGAGUGCGGUAGGGGAGAUUGGAAUUCCUGGUGUAGCGGUGGAAUGCGCAGAUAUCAGGAGGAACACCGAUGGCGAAGGCAGAUCUCUGGGCCGUAACUGACGCUGAGGAGCGAAAGCAUGGGGAGCGAACAGGAUUAGAUACCCUGGUAGUCCAUGCCGUAAACGUUGGGCGCUAGAUGUGGGGACCAUUCCACGGUUUUCCGUGUCGCNGCUACGACAUAGCGCCCGCCGUCGGGAGGUACGGCCGCGACGGACGUAAACGUACGAAGAAGUUAGUACGGCGUUGAGACGNGCCGACGGACGACGACGAGGGAGAGG